This 1463-nucleotide long non-coding RNA is filed under the name Pogona vitticeps (central bearded dragon). RNAcentral describes it as "lncRNA (ENSPVIG00000012108.1)". Lineage: Eukaryota; Metazoa; Chordata; Lepidosauria; Squamata; Agamidae. The record is from RNAcentral.
UCAGAAGAGCUUCAGUUAGGUUGGAGAUCUACAUUUCCAUCAAACAACCCACACAGGUGAGAAACCAUAUAAAUAUAUGGAAUGUGGAAAGAACUUCAUUCAGAGCAUUGACCUUAGUUCACAUUUUAGAACUCACACAGGGGAGAAGUCAUACAGAUGCAUGCAACAUGGAAAGUUGUUCAACUGAAGGAAUGAUUUUACUUCCCACAAGAUAAUGUGCACAGAAGCAGAACUAUAUUACGGCUCCAGUUUGUCACCAAAUCAUUUGAAGUGAUGCUGGCGUAACUAUGUCGGACCCUAUACUGAGAUAAUACAAAUGGCAUGAUGUGCAAUUGGACACAUGAUUCCAAUGUCAUGACAAGGAUUCUGGCCAUAAUAUAUGAUGUGGUAACAGCUUUCAUGACAGCAGGUUGUGUUCUAAGCAUCGAAAAAACUCUCACUGGGGAGAAACUUACCAAAGAGAACUGCCACAAAGUCUCUUUCAAUAUUUUAAACUUCCUUCAUAAAACAGAGUUGGAGAAUCUUAUAUGGUCAAAUUCAAUGUACUCUCCUUUUAAGCAAGCACUUGGGGCCCACUUAUGAUUCUAGGCUCAACUCUGUUUCCUAUCAAUAUUGGAUUUUUGGACUAAAUCCUAGAUCUCUCAAAAAGUUCAUAAAAUUGAUGGGGGUGGAAAUCCAGUGGUCUGAAGCUGGAGUUUGUGUCUGAGUUACUGUAUUGUCAUUUCCCCCCUUGAAACAGAAGUCAGAGGUGUCUUAAAUUCAUUCAUUCAUGGAUGAAGUGAUUUUCCAUCGCAGUGAAGAUAAGUGUGGUUUGCAGUCCACCUCGAGAUGAAAACUCUUUUUUUUGCAGUAGGCGCAGUAUAAAAGAAGGGAGGAUUUCUGCAAGAAGAAACAACAAUAGAAAGAAGUAUAUACUGUCAGAAGGACUGCCUGACAAUUUGAAGGCAGGACCCGAGACUGAGCCGAGGCUCCCCUGGAUUUGCUCAGGACCCAGAGAGAAGCGAACUCCCGAUCGAUCCCUCCAACCGUUGCAAGGCAGUGAAACCUCUCGGGUUGUCUUGGGCUGCAAAGGGACUUUCGUACGGUGCAUCUGCCCAGGAAUCCCAUUUGGAUUUAGAACAAAAGCAUCAGCUUGCCAUCCCAAAGCCUCCCUGAAAACGCUACUGCUCUUUCUGGCCACCUCGGCUUCCAAAAAACCUUGCAUAGAAUUACUACUCGCUUCUACUGGCUCAGUGUUUCAAACAUCAGUGAGACGUUAUGGUGGCAGCUGUCCUGUUUAUCAGAAAAUUGGACAUGCGACUCAUGUUAUUCAGAUGGCCUUUCUGGAGAUGACCCCGUGUUGACCCCAACAAGAGCGUGGGAUCUGCUGGAUUGAUGCUCGAGAUCUCUGCGCAAGGACCUCCUACUAGGAACGAUGUCUCUCCAGGUAACUUCAUUUAAUAAAAAAUCAUUUGCCUAGUACA